GAUGAACGCUGGCGGCGUGCUUAACACAUGCAAGUCGAACGAUGAUGCCCAGCUUGCUGGGUGGAUUAGUGGCGAACGGGUGAGUAACACGUGAGUAACCUGCCCUUGACUCUGGGAUAAGCCUGGGAAACUGGGUCUAAUACCGGAUACGACCAUCUGGCGCAUGUCAUGGUGGUGGAAAGCUUUUGUGGUUUUGGAUGGACUCGCGGCCUAUCAGCUUGUUGGUGGGGUAAUGGCCUACCAAGGCGACGACGGGUAGCCGGCCUGAGAGGGUGACCGGCCACACUGGGACUGAGACACGGCCCAGACUCCUACGGGAGGCAGCAGUGGGGAAUAUUGCACAAUGGGCGGAAGCCUGAUGCAGCGACGCCGCGUGAGGGAUGACGGCCUUCGGGUUGUAAACCUCUUUCAGUAGGGAAGAAGCGAAAGUGACGGUACCUGCAGAAGAAGCGCCGGCUAACUACGUG
RNAcentral lists this ribosomal RNA (467 nucleotides) under uncultured bacterium. RNAcentral describes it as "partial 16S ribosomal RNA". It matches the Rfam family "Bacterial small subunit ribosomal RNA", at positions 28 to 507 of the family's 1533-position model. The record is from RNAcentral.